This 253-nucleotide ribosomal RNA is filed under the name uncultured bacterium. Its description in RNAcentral is "partial 16S ribosomal RNA". It matches the Rfam family "Bacterial small subunit ribosomal RNA", at positions 524 to 776 of the family's 1533-position model. The record is from RNAcentral.
UACGUAGGUGGCAAGCGUUGUCCGGAUUUACUGGGCGUAAAGAGCGCGCAGGCGGUCGUUCAAGUCGAGUGUGAAAGCCCCCGGCUCAACUGGGGAGGGUCAUUCGAUACUGAUCGACUUGAAGGCAGGAGAGGGAAGCGGAAUUCCCGGUGUAGUGGUGAAAUGCGUAGAUAUCGGGAGGAACACCAGUGGCGAAGGCGGCUUCCUGGCCUGUUCUUGACGCUGAUGCGCGACAGCGUGGGGAGCAAACAGG